RNAcentral lists this ribosomal RNA (440 nucleotides) under uncultured bacterium. RNAcentral's name for it is "partial 16S ribosomal RNA". It matches the Rfam family "Bacterial small subunit ribosomal RNA", at positions 338 to 795 of the family's 1533-position model. The record is from RNAcentral.
CCUACGGGUGGCUGCAGUGGGGAAUAUUGCACAAUGGGGGAAACCCUGAUGCAGCGACGCCGCGUGAAGGAAGAAGUAUUUCGGUAUUUAAACUUCUAUCAGCAGGGAAGAAAAUGACGGUACCUGACUAAGAAUCCCCGGCUAACUACGUGACAGCAGCCGCGGUAAUACGGAGGGGGCAAGCGUUAUCCGGAGUUACUGGGUGUAAAGGGAGCGUAGGCGGUUUAGCAAGUCAGAAGUGGAAGGCCGGGGGUCAACCCCGGGACUGCUUUUGAAACUGUUUAACGUGAUUGCAGGAGAGGUAAGUGGAAUUCGUGGUGUAGCGGUGAAAUGCGUAGAUAUUAGGAGGAACACCAGUGGCGAAGGCGGCUUACUGGACUGUAAAUGACGCUGAGGCUCGAAAGCGUGGGGAGCAAACAGGAUUAGAUACCCCAGUAGUC